AUCCAGUUGACGAGUCCCAAAUAGGACAAAGUGAUGUGCGUCAAACUGGAU
RNAcentral lists this non-coding RNA (51 nucleotides) under Schistosoma mansoni. Lineage: Eukaryota; Metazoa; Platyhelminthes; Trematoda; Strigeidida; Schistosomatidae. The record is from RNAcentral.